This 450-nucleotide ribosomal RNA is filed under the name uncultured bacterium. RNAcentral describes it as "bacterial SSU rRNA". It matches the Rfam family "Bacterial small subunit ribosomal RNA", at positions 29 to 524 of the family's 1533-position model. The record is from RNAcentral.
AACGAACGCUGGCGGCAGGCCUAACACAUGCAAGUCGAACGCCCUAGCAAUAGGGAGUGGCAGACGGGUGAGUAACACGUGGGAACCUUCCCUAUAGUACGGAAUAUACCAGGGAACUUGGAGCAAUACCGUAUACGCCCGAGAGGGGAAAGAUUUAUCGCUAUAGGAUGGGCCCGCGUAGGAUUAGCUAGUUGGUGAGGUAAUGGCUCACCAAGGCGACGAUCCUUAGCUGGUUUGAGAGAACGACCAGCCACACUGGGACUGAGACACGGCCCAGACUCCUACGGGAGGCAGCAGUGGGGAAUAUUGGACAAUGGGCGCAAGCCUGAUCCAGCCAUGCCGCGUGAGUGAUGAAGGCCUUAGGGUUGUAAAGCUCUUUUUGCCGGGGACGAUAAUGACGGUACCCGGAGAAUAAGUCCCGGCUAACUUCGUGCCAGCCGCCGCCGUAAC